AGCAAAUUGUAUGCCACAGAGGUUUGGAGAGAGAUAUUCUUUCAUAUUUUUAAGAUGAUUCAGCUGAUGUUGUCUUUAUUGCCUUUGCCUAAAGCAAGUUACAAUGUAAAAGCUGAAUGUAUUGUCAAUGACAAAAUGCCACAGCAGAAUCAGAUUUUAGAGAUGGGUGGAUUAAAAAAAAGUGAAGUAAAGCCAUUUUCUCAAAAUAAACAAGUAAAUAAUAAUCUAAACUGAAAAUUCCCAAAGAGAAUGAUAACACCACGAAGCCCUGAAUACUUGUUGCAUCCGCACCUUUUCAAUAAGAAGAAUAUCUUUGUUAGAUUAGACAGUAAACAAAUAUUUGAUAAUAAAUGAAUUAUUGUAUUAUUUAAAAGGAACAGAAUGUGGAUUAAUCAUGUCUGGAAAGUUAAAAACUAAAUAAAUUUUGUUGUCUUCAAUAUCCAGAAAUUUAUAACCAUGAAAAAGUAAAAGGCAGAAAAGAAAUACCUAGUAGAAUGUUGCAACUUCCAGCUCCUUUGUACCUAACAGUUUUCUGCUGUUAGCCAAGAAAACAGGAAAUUUGGAUGCUCCGUUCCACACCAAAUGAAUCAGGACCUCCAGGUUUUCUAAUUACAUUUCAUUCAUUGGAUAUGACAGUUCCAAAUAUAUGCACCUUUGUAAAUGAAGAGGACAGAAUUUUAAUCAGAAGAAUGAGAAAAUAAAAGUGCUAUGAUUAGAAAAACUUGAGGAUUAUUCUAACCAGCAAGCAAAGAUCUCUUAAAAACUUCAGGGGAAUUGAAGAAUGUUUUUUAAAAACAAUUACGUGGCAAGAACUCUCGAUUGGAUAGAUAAAUACAGGUAAUAGAUAUGUUUGAGGUAAAAUAGAACCUCAAUUUAAAUAGAUUAAUGUAAGAAUUUAAAAAAUGCUGCUGAACUUGAUAUAUUACAAUAAUCCUUUCUGGGCUGAAGGAAAUAGAAAUAAAUAGUAGGAGCAAGCCACAGUGGAAAAAACAUACAAUCUGUCUCACUGGGUGAGAGGGUUGUCCUGAAAACAUCUGACAUCUGGAAUGCCCUUGUCUGCAAGGAUGCAAGUCCUCCAAAUAUCCUAAGGCUAAUAUAAUGCCAUCAAGUAAAUGGACUUUGUUUAUAUACGUAGGAAUUUUUUAAGAAAUCAAAACAUUAAAAUUCUCGAAAGCAGUAUGAUUGAUCAAUAACUAAAUCUAUCCAUAACUGUGAAUUUGCACAACCUGGGCAACAAGCAUUUUCCAGGAAUAAAUUGCUCUUCAUCCAUAGUGUGUAAAUGACUCUUCCAAAACGAUUUUAACAGAUGUCACCAUUUUAUCUUAUUUUUUUCUUCCUGUUCCAUCUGCCACUGUCUCAAACUCUCUUUACUUCAUUCCUCAGGAACAGCUUUCAUCUGCUCUUAUUUCCUUUAAAUAUGUGAUAAUCUUUGUUCAUUGACUCUAUUUUCCUAAGAUAUGGUUGUUCUAAUUAAUUUUACCUAAGCUGACAUUAGGAGCAUUGUAAAAAUUAAUAACACUCUUACACAAGAAUCUGUCUUAAUACUAUGAAAUAUAAUCAGGUUUUCCAUUUUUAUAAAUGUCUUUGUUUAGAGUAAAACAGGUGAUGAUAUGGCUUUAUCAUCAAGAGACUCACCUCAAUGCUAACCUAAAAAGAGAGGAAAUUAGUUCUGAUAUAGGAUCCAACACAAUUAAGCAUUUUAACUCAUGCAUAUAACAAUUUCCUUGUCUCAAUCAACUGCUACUCUUCUGUUAUAUAAUGAAUUUCCUUCUUUCAAUUAUUUUCUAAGAAGCAUACUAUUUUUGGCAUAAAAUAUUGAUUUCCUUAAACAAAAAUUCAUGAUGGUACAGCAUAAGCAUGAAGACUUUAGAUUUAUGUAUGAUUUCUGAGCAGCGGCUAUUAAUUUUGGUCGACUUUGAAAGAACAUUUGAAUUGAUUAGCAUAAACUAUUUUUAAAUCAGUAGAGACUGAGUUAUCAUAUACACAUAGGUGUGUACAUGCAUAUGUAUGUAUGUAUUUUUCUUCUCUUUUUUUAUAUAGUAGGAGUAAUGGGGCAAGAUAGACUCAUAUAGACUAAAGAAAAUAAGUUGGCAUAUUUGAAUUGUAGUACACAAAAGUAGAACCUAUUAUAAAUGUAUACAUGUAUUAAGUAUGAUGAGUAAUUACUCCUGUAAUAACUAUGUCUCUGAAAAUCCUUCCUGGAAAAUUGUUUUCUCCUAAAUGUGCUGCUGCAGUUAACUUGUAUUUUCCUAUUGAAACACUAUUGCAAUAUGCUAUGUUGCUUGCUUGCUUGAGUACAUGUUACUUGAGUAAACUUUGUGACAGCAGGGAGGGACCACACCUCUCUUUUCUCAUUCUUUUUUCUCCAACAGCUUGUCUAAUAUAUGAACAGAGUUGUGGCUUCAUAAAU
This 2410-nucleotide long non-coding RNA is filed under the name Homo sapiens (human). Its description in RNAcentral is "HSALNT0070904". Lineage: Eukaryota; Metazoa; Chordata; Mammalia; Primates; Hominidae. The record is from RNAcentral.